RNAcentral lists this ribosomal RNA (800 nucleotides) under Halomonas sp. S5. RNAcentral's name for it is "bacterial SSU rRNA". It matches the Rfam family "Bacterial small subunit ribosomal RNA", at positions 70 to 870 of the family's 1533-position model. The record is from RNAcentral. Lineage: Bacteria; Pseudomonadati; Pseudomonadota; Gammaproteobacteria; Oceanospirillales; Halomonadaceae.
CAGAUCCAGCUUGCUGGAUGCUGACGAGCGGCGGACGGGUGAGUAACGCAUAGGAAUUUACCCGGUAGUGGGGGAUAACCUGGGGAAACUCAGGCUAAUACCGCAUACGUCCUACGGGAGAAAGGGGGCUUUGGCUCCCGCUAUCGGAUGAGCCUAUGCCGGAUUAGCUGGUUGGUGAGGUAAUGGCUCACCAAGGCGACGAUCCGUAGCUGGUCUGAGAGGAUGAUCAGCCACAUCGGGACUGAGACACGGCCCGAACUCCUACGGGAGGCAGCAGUGGGGAAUAUUGGACAAUGGGGGCAACCCUGAUCCAGCCAUGCCGCGUGUGUGAAGAAGGCCCUCGGGUUGUAAAGCACUUUCAGCGAGGAAGAACGCCUGGUGGUUAAUACCCGCCAGGAAAGACAUCACUCGCAGAAGAAGCACCGGCUAACUCCGUGCCAGCAGCCGCGGUAAUACGGAGGGUGCAAGCGUUAAUCGGAAUUACUGGGCGUAAAGCGCGCGUAGGUGGCUUGAUAAGCCGGUUGUGAAAGCCCCGGGCUCAACCUGGGAACGGCAUCCGGAACUAUGAGGCUAGAGUGCAGGAGAGGAAGGUAGAAUUCCCGGUGUAGCGGUGAAAUGCGUAGAGAUCGGGAGGAAUACCAGUGGCGAAGGCGGCCUUCUGGACUGACACUGACACUGAGGUGCGAAAGCGUGGGUAGCAAACAGGAUUAGAUACCCUGGUAGUCCACGCCGUAAACGAUGUCGACCAGCCGUUGGGUGCCUAGCGCACUUUGUGGCGAAGUUAACGCGAUAAGUCGACC